GGAAGAGCGAUGCCCCCGGUGGGGCACCUGGUCUUCAAAACCAGUGAGGUGUCUUUGAGAUGCCUGGUGGGUUCGACUCCUACCUCUUCCGCCA
RNAcentral lists this transfer RNA (94 nucleotides) under Gammaproteobacteria bacterium. RNAcentral describes it as "tRNA-Sec". It matches the Rfam family "Selenocysteine transfer RNA". The record is from RNAcentral. Lineage: Bacteria; Pseudomonadati; Pseudomonadota; Gammaproteobacteria.